RNAcentral lists this long non-coding RNA (292 nucleotides) under Elaeis guineensis (African oil palm). Its description in RNAcentral is "long non-coding RNA (EGUI_LNC067579)". Lineage: Eukaryota; Viridiplantae; Streptophyta; Magnoliopsida; Arecales; Arecaceae. The record is from RNAcentral.
GAUUGAUAGAUCCCAUAUAGAUGCACAUGUUGCUCACACAGCUCAACCAACUAAAGCCAAUAUCCACUACAAAAACUCAUAAUCGAAUUAAUGUUUAUAUGUAGUCAAACUACAGUAGUCUUAUUGUGAGCAACUAUGAUACUGCUGGUUAAAGGAUCAGUCACACAACUACAGCAUCAAGAUAAUCACUAAUGAUCGAAUAGAAAUCUAUGUGAUUUUUUAUAUGGGUAUGCUCAGUACUAGUUGUUCUUUAACAACUAUCUGUACUUUUCGCUCAGUAUCUCUACACCAU